GACGAACCGGACAAACGUUGUUCGGAAUCACUGGGCGUAAAGCGCGUGUAGGCGGCUUAGCAAGUCGGAUGUGAAAUCCCGAGGCUCAACCUCGGAACUGCACUCGAAACUGCUUGGCUUGAGUCCCGGAGAGGGUGGCGGAAUUCCCGGUGUAGGGGUGAAAUCCGUAGAUAUCGGGAGGAACACCAGUGGCGAAGGCGGCCACCUGGACGGUGACUGACGCUGAGACGCGAAAGCGUGGGGAGCAAACAGG
This 253-nucleotide ribosomal RNA is filed under the name uncultured bacterium. RNAcentral describes it as "partial 16S ribosomal RNA". It matches the Rfam family "Bacterial small subunit ribosomal RNA", at positions 524 to 776 of the family's 1533-position model. The record is from RNAcentral.